GAUGAACGCUGGCGGCGUGCCUAAUACAUGCAAGUCGAGCGAACGGACGAGAAGCUUGCUUUUCUGAUGUUAGCGGCGGACGGGUGAGUAACACGUGGAUAACCUACCUAUAAGACUGGGAUAACUUCGGGAAACCGGAGCUAAUACCGGAUAAUAUUUUGAACCGCAUGGUUCAAAAGUGAAAGACGGUCUUGCUGUCACUUAUAGAUGGAUCCGCGCUGCAUUAGCUAGUUGGUAAGGUAACGGCUUACCAAGGCAACGAUGCAUAGCCGACCUGAGAGGGUGAUCGGCCACACUGGAGCGGAGACGCGGUCCAGACGCCUACGAGAGGCAGCAGUAGGGAAUCUUACGCAAUGGGCGAAAGCCUGACGGAGCAACGCCGCGUGAGGGAUGAAGGUCUUCGGAUCGUAAAACUCUGUUAUUAGGGAAGAACAUAUGUGUAAGUAACUGUGCACAUCUUGACGGUACCUAAUCAGAAAGCCACGGCUAACUACGUG
This 497-nucleotide ribosomal RNA is filed under the name uncultured bacterium. Its description in RNAcentral is "partial 16S ribosomal RNA". It matches the Rfam family "Bacterial small subunit ribosomal RNA", at positions 28 to 507 of the family's 1533-position model. The record is from RNAcentral.